This 1893-nucleotide long non-coding RNA is filed under the name Coturnix japonica (Japanese quail). RNAcentral describes it as "lncRNA (ENSCJPG00005019980.1)". Lineage: Eukaryota; Metazoa; Chordata; Aves; Galliformes; Phasianidae. The record is from RNAcentral.
AUGGGGCUCCCCUCCCACCCUGCAGGAGGGGAGCAGCAGGCAGAGCACAGCCUGGUACCAAAGGUGCCCCGUAACCUCACCUUCCUCCUGGCUGCCCUCACCCCAGAUUCACUGCCGGUACUACUGGUGGGGAAAGGUUCCAACAGAUGGACGCUGGAGGUGGGGGGAGGAAAAGCCCUGCAGCCCUCGUUCGUGGGAGCUGAAAGGGUUGGCAUUGGUUUUGUGUUUUUCUUUCCCCUCCGGUUGCAACACAAAAACAAAGCGCUGAUAGGGAUCGCAGCACGGCGGGGGCAGCUCAGCCCCGUACCCGUCGGGCACAUCCCAUGGGGGGCGGCGGCGGCAGCGUCCCCACGGCCGUAUGGGGUGGGGGCCGGCAGCGGGCAUCGCUCCCAGCAACAUAUCCCCGCUAUGGGGGAUCCUGCGCUGCUCGUCCAUUUUGGGCAGCCCUUUGUCUUACAGCCGGUGCCCCGGCACCACCGGAUCCCUGCCGAGUCCCCCGCCCCCACCUCAGGCUCCGGGAUGGAGGAGCCGCGGGCCCACCUGGGCUGCGGGCAGAGCGAGCACAGCCCCAGCCCUGCCCCAGGAGCACAGCGCUCUGCCCCGGCACAAGCACAGUGUCCAGCACGACGCAACUCCCUGCUCGGGGCAUCCCGAGCUCCAGCGGCGCAGCCCCAGACCCCGAUCGGGACGGGGCAGCAGGGAGGGCAGCAGGGGGGGCUUCACCGCCCCCAGCCCCGCGCGUCGCUUCCUCCCCCGCAGCUGCGGCCACCCCAAACCCCCGCCAGGUGCCCCCCGCCUCCAUCCCGCCCCGCUCCCCGCUCCCAGCCCCCCCCAGCCCCGCUUCACCUCCGUCCCGAUCCGUCUCGAGGUGUCUCCCCGCAGCCCGGCCCGGCGCCCCGAGCCGCUCCGGACGCAGCCCCGGCCCGUAGCUGUGCGCAGCGCCGGACCCGGCACCCGCAGCCCCAAACCCAGCCCGGGGAUGAGCCAGCACCCCGUGCUCAGCACUCGCACCCUGCGCUGGGGCACGCAGCACCUCAUCUGCGGACCCAAAGCCCCAGAUCCAGCACCCGAACCCCACUCCCCUCCGGUACCCGGCCCCGAUCCCAUCUCCCCGGCGCUUACCUGCGGCUCGGCUCGGUCCGGUUCGGCCCGGCUCCGCGCUGGCUGUGCCGCCCGCCGCAGGUCGCUGUGCGCAGCCCCGCCGUGGGCCGUGCCGCGCCGCCCGCACUAUGGCACCCCCUGCCGCCCGUCCCCGGCUCUACGAGGGCCGCGGAGCUGCGGGGCCCGGAGCGCGGAGCGGCGGGAGCGGCCCCCGAGUCCCGCAGCGCCCGGCGUGAGGCCACCCCGAUCCCCCGGAGCCGUGGGUGGGUGCCUGGAGCGCGGCCAGCUGCCGGGAGCAGGAGCCUGCACGCCCAGCUGGGCACUGCGCCCGGCCUCGAGCUGCGCGAGGGCAAAGUCCUCCAAGGGGAAAAAACGACGGCACAGCCUCGUUGCGCCACAGCCGGCCCGCAGCCAAAGAGCCCCCGGUGCGCUGCGCUGCCCUGCGCUGCCGGCACCCCGCGCGUGGGCACUGCUGGGGGUGCCGAGCCCCCGGGAGCCUCCCGUGCCCCACGCGGCUCAGCCCUCCUUCCUCAUCCGUCACGGAGACGCGGAGCACAAGCACGGCGUGCAAUCUGCAGGUCGCAUCUAGGGCACUGGGAGCUGGCUGGAGCAGGAGCUGGGUGCUGUGCUUCCCUGCUGUGCUGGCACGGCAUGCAGCUCCGCUCCCAGCUCACUGCCCUCUCUACAGGCUCCUGCCCUCCCUCCCUGCACGCUCCAGCGGCUCAUUGCCAUUUCCUCCCGUCCUCACUUCUCCCCAACACCUCGCUCUGCCUCCUGCCUGCCCCAUGUUAG